Molecule: ribosomal RNA, 446 nt
Filed under: uncultured bacterium
Lineage: Bacteria
Description: bacterial SSU rRNA
Rfam family: Bacterial small subunit ribosomal RNA
Source: RNAcentral
CCCCAGACUCCUACGGGAGGCAGCAGUGGGGAAUAUUGCACAAUGGGGGAAACCCUGAUGCAGCGACGCCGCGUGAGCGAUGAAGUAUUUCGGUAUGUAAAGCUCUAUCAGCAGGGAAGAAGAUGACGGUACCUGACUAAGAAGCCCCGGCUAACUACGUGCCAGCAGCCGCGGUAAUACGUAGGGGGCAAGCGUUAUCCGGAUUUACUGGGUGUAAAGGGAGCGUAGACGGCGGCGCAAGCCAGAUGUGAAAGCCCGGGGCUCAACUCCGGGACUGCAUUUGGAACUGUGUGGCUGGAGUGUCGGAGAGGCAGGCGGAAUUCCUAGUGUAGCGGUGAAAUGCGUAGAUAUUAGGAGGAACACCAGUGGCGAAGGCGGCCUGCUGGACGAUGACUGACGUUGAGGCUCGAAAGCGUGGGGAGCAAACAGGAUUAGAUACCCCUGUA